This 305-nucleotide ribosomal RNA is filed under the name uncultured bacterium. RNAcentral's name for it is "partial 16S ribosomal RNA". It matches the Rfam family "Bacterial small subunit ribosomal RNA", at positions 505 to 807 of the family's 1533-position model. The record is from RNAcentral.
ACAGCAGUAGCCACGGGAAUACGAAGGGGGCUAGCGUUGCUCGGAAUUACUGGGCGUAAAGGGAGCGUAGGCGGAUCGUUAAGUUGGGGGUGAAAGCCCGGGGCUCAACCUCGGAACUGCCUUCAAUACUGGCGAUCUUGAGUAUGAGAGAGGUGUGUGGAACUCCGAGUGUAGAGGUGAAAUUCGUAGAUAUUCGGAAGAACACCAGUGGCGAAGGCGACACACUGGCUCAUUACUGACGCUGAGGCUCGAAAGCGUGGGGAGCAAACAGGAUUAGAUACCCGAGUAGUCCCUGUCUCUUAUAC